GAGUUUGAUUAUGGCUCAGAUUGAACGCUGGCGGCAGGCUUAACACAUGCAAGUCGAACGAUGAUUACUAGCUUGCUAGUAUGAUUAGUGGCGAACGGGUGAGUAAUGCUUAGGAAUCUGCCUAUUAGUGGGGGACAACAUUCCGAAAGGAAUGCUAAUACCGCAUACGUCCUACGGGAGAAAGCAGGGGAUCUUUUGACCUUGCGCUAAUAGAUGAGCCUAAGUCGGAUUAGCUAGUUGGUGGGGUAAAGGCCUACCAAGGCGACGAUCUGUAGCUGGUCUGAGAGGAUGAUCAGCCACACUGGGACUGAGACACGGCCCAGACUCCUACGGGAGGCAGCAGUGGGGAAUAUUGGACAAUGGGCGAAAGCCUGAUCCAGCCAUGCCGCGUGUGUGAAGAAGGCCUUUUGGUUGUAAAGCACUUUAAGUGGGGAGGAAAAGCUAAUAAUUAAUACCUAUUAGCCCUGAC
This 469-nucleotide ribosomal RNA is filed under the name Moraxella sp. canine oral taxon 017. RNAcentral describes it as "bacterial SSU rRNA". It matches the Rfam family "Bacterial small subunit ribosomal RNA", at positions 9 to 473 of the family's 1533-position model. The record is from RNAcentral. Lineage: Bacteria; Pseudomonadati; Pseudomonadota; Gammaproteobacteria; Moraxellales; Moraxellaceae.